UCAUGGCUCAGGAUGAACGCUAGCGGCAGGCUUAACACAUGCAAGUCGAGGGGUAACAGAGGAGCUUGCUCUUGCUGACGACCGGCGCACGGGUGCGUAACGCGUAUACAAUCUGCCUUACACUAAGGGAUAGCCCAGAGAAAUUUGGAUUAACACCUUAUAGUUUAUUUUUAUGGCAUCAUUUAAAUAAUAAAGUUUACGGUGUAAGAUGAGUAUGCGUCCCAUUAGUUUGUUGGUAAGGUAACGGCUUACCAAGACUACGAUGGGUAGGGGCCCUGAGAGGGGGAUCCCCCACACUGGUACUGAGACACGGACCAGACUCCUACGGGAGGCAGCAGUGAGGAAUAUUGGACAAUGGAGGAGACUCUGAUCCAGCCAUGCCGCGUGCAGGAAGACGGUCCUAUGGAUUGUAAACUGCUUUUAUACAGGAAGAAUAAGGACUACGUGUAGUCUGGUGACGGUACUGUAAGAAUAAGGACCGGCUAACUCCGUGCCAGCAGCCGCGGUAAUACGGAGGGUCCGAGCGUUAUCCGGAAUUAUUGGGUUUAAAGGGUCCGUAGGCGGGCUGUUAAGUCAGGGGUGAAAGUUUGCAGCUCAACUGUAGAAUUGCCUUUGAUACUGAUGGUCUUGAAUUAUUGUGAAGUGGUUAGAAUAUGUAGUGUAGCGGUGAAAUGCAUAGAUAUUACAUAGAAUACCGAUUGCGAAGGCAGAUCACUAACAAUUGAUUGACG
This 731-nucleotide ribosomal RNA is filed under the name Cellulophaga sp. MAR_2009_163. RNAcentral's name for it is "bacterial SSU rRNA". It matches the Rfam family "Bacterial small subunit ribosomal RNA", at positions 17 to 745 of the family's 1533-position model. The record is from RNAcentral. Lineage: Bacteria; Pseudomonadati; Bacteroidota; Flavobacteriia; Flavobacteriales; Flavobacteriaceae.